RNAcentral lists this ribosomal RNA (162 nucleotides) under uncultured bacterium. RNAcentral describes it as "partial 16S ribosomal RNA". It matches the Rfam family "Bacterial small subunit ribosomal RNA", at positions 393 to 539 of the family's 1533-position model. The record is from RNAcentral.
AACGCCGCGUGGGUGAUGAAGCAUCUUGGUGUGUAAAACCCUGUCAGUGGGGAAGAAACGUGAGAGGAGUCACUGCCUCUCGCCUGACGGUACCCACAGAGGAAGUCCCGGCUAACUCCGUGCCAGCACCUGCGGUGACUGAGCGGGCUGGCAAGGCGCAUA